UUGCCCUUAAUAACGGCGAGUGAGCGGCAAAAGCUCAAUUUGAAAUCUGGUACCCCGGUGCCCGAGUUGUAAUUUGGAGAGGGCAACUUUGGGGCCGUUCCUUGUCUAUGUUCCUUGGAACAGGACGUCAUAGAGGGUGAGAAUCCCGUGUGGCGAGGAGUGCGGUUCUUUGUAAAGUGCCUUCGAAGAGUCGAGUUGUUUGGGAAUGCAGCUCUAAGUGGGUGGUAAAUUCCAUCUAAAGCUAAAUAUUGGCGAGAGACCGAUAGCGAACAAGUACAGUGAUGGAAAGAUGAAAAGAACUUUGAAAAGAGAGUGAAAAAGUACGUGAAAUUGUUGAAAAGGGAAGGGCAUUUGAUCAAACAUGGUGUUUUGUGCCCUCUGCUCCUUG
RNAcentral lists this ribosomal RNA (388 nucleotides) under Saccharomyces cerevisiae (brewer's yeast). RNAcentral describes it as "eukaryotic LSU rRNA". It matches the Rfam family "Eukaryotic large subunit ribosomal RNA", at positions 73 to 461 of the family's 3401-position model. The record is from RNAcentral. Lineage: Eukaryota; Fungi; Ascomycota; Saccharomycetes; Saccharomycetales; Saccharomycetaceae.